GCGAAAGUGGCGAAAUUGGUAGACGCGCUACCUUGAGGGGGUAGUGCAAUUAUGUGUGUGGGUUCAAGUCCCACCUUUCGCA
This is a transfer RNA of Micromonas sp., 82 nucleotides long. It matches the Rfam family "tRNA". Rfam says of the family: Transfer RNA (tRNA) molecules are approximately 80 nucleotides in length. Their secondary structure includes four short double-helical elements and three loops (D, anti-codon, and T loops). The record is from Rfam. Lineage: Eukaryota; Viridiplantae; Chlorophyta; Mamiellophyceae; Mamiellales; Mamiellaceae.